GAUGAACGACAGGGAUCAAAAUAAAUCAGUGGUUUCAGACUCCUCUACCUGUAAAGAUCUGGAAACAUGAAGACCAGUGUUUAUGGUGAACUGGACCCUGGACACUGACUUUGACCAACUCUUCCUCAGCUCGCUCCUCACUGUGUCCAUGGAGGAGGGGAUAUAGACCCAAGGCUGCUGAAGUCAUUUACUUUGUACUAUUGGUGUAUCCGUGAAGUGUUUACGAGUGGUUCGCGAGCUGCCCCUGCUGACCUCUAAACUGAACUGCCGGUUUCCAGAUGACACAGAUGGGACUUGCUCCAAGGAACCUUUCUAAACGGGUCCACCUCCCCUGUAUCCUUUCUUUCCCACUACCUCUGGUGGGUGGGGGUUGAAGGGAGGUUAAAGCAUUUAAGAACUCUCAUUAAAAGGAGACUUUGAAAAAAAUUAAAAUUACGAACCCCUCAAUUAAACUUCAUAGUUCUUCCACACAAAGAUGAAAAAUUUACUGAGCUAGGACACCACACAACCAUGCCUCAGCAGGACAUGCAUGGGGGGCACAAGGUUAGAAGUUCUGUGGGGCUAAGAGCAGAGGGAGCAGAGUUCAUGAAAGGGAAGUUUUCACCCUCCAGAUGGCUGAGAGGGGAACCUGGCUGGGGAGCUUGAGAGGAAAUAAAGAAAUAGGAUCUAGUACUUUCCUUUAUAAGUAAGACUGAUGGGCACAUCUUGCUCGGCUGAUGCAGGGACAUAAGCCAGCAAAAUGGUCUUUCUGGAGCAGAUUAGCUUCGUGAGUACCUAUUCAUCUCCAGGCUAUCGUCUCAGAUGAACCAGACUUGGAAAGAUUGGGUAAAUGGUAUGCAUCCAUCCCGUGUUUGAUUUUGGCUUCAAGUUUGUGUGCAGAGACCACGACAUCAGAACCAUUCUCCUCAUGAUUACUGUAGAAGAAAAGAAAUGCCUUUUCACCUGCUUUCUGUCGCCAUGAAAGAACCAAGACCAAAAACUGCUUAGGGAGAAAAACGUUUACCUCAGCUUAUAAUCGAUGUUCACCACAAAGGGAAGUCAGGAUGGGACCCAGGAGGCAGAAAAGGAAGCAGGAGGGAUGUUGCUUCUUGCUUGCUCCCCAUGACUUGCCUGGCCUGCUUUCUUACACAGCCCAGGGUGAUCUGCCCAAGGGUGAUACCACCAAAAACCCUCUAGGCCCUCUCACCUCAGAAAGUGUGCCCACGGGCUUGCCUGUAGGCAAUCUGAUGGAGACUUUUUCUCAAUUGAGGUUCCUUUUCCCAAAUAAGGAUAGGUUGUGUCAAGUUGGCAAAUAUCCAACCAGGAGAAGGGGUCAACUGAUUUCACACACAGCCAAACUGGAGUCAGAGUAAAGCAGCUCAGUUAUUAGUGAGGAGGAAGAAGUAUGGAGCUCUCACGUAGUUGACCUCGAGGGUCUUUCUCAUUCUUAAUUUGUGAAUCUCAAAUACCAGUUACACGAAACUGAAGUCCUUACCCGAAAAUUGAAAUUUUUCUGAAAAGGAUACUUUGUUUCUUGGGCAUGUUUCCCUGCUGUAGGUAGCCCAGGCUGUCCGGAUGUGCUCUAAGUGGCCCAGUCUGUCUUUAAACUCGUAGCAAUCCUUUGAUCUCAGUUUUUCGUGUGCUGGGAUUGUGGGUAUGCACCACUGUGGUAUGGACUCUGGAACAGAUGGGGUCUACAGGAUCCCGGUCCACUUUGGAGUGGGGGUGAGAUUUCUCUGUGGAUUUACAGCUUUGAGGUGAUACUCAACAAAGCAGCUCUCCUAGAGAAUCUUCAGUAAACAGCCGGUGGGCAUACACUUUAUUCGGGGUGACCAAGGACUGUAUGUGAACCUAGGAGAGUGGGAAGGAGUUUUCAGGGUGAAUGUCAAAAUCAUUGGCAGGAGCUUAAGGUACUGUGAAUGCCUAUUUGUAUAGAGGGGCAUUCCAGGAAGCCCAGGUACUUGCUGGGUGGGUUCUUAUUGGGGAAAGAGGAAAUCGAACCAAGGUUUCCCAAGGGCUUAUGUGAUCUUCCUCAGGUAGAGUGUAUGAGGGGGGUCAGACCGCCCCAGACAAGUCAGAGAAGAGGAAGCUCUGCUGGGAAAAGGUAGUCCUGCAUGCUUUCACAGAGCUCAGUGGGAUGAUCCAGACAUAGUAGACUUUGGCCUUAAGUAACAGGGUUUUCCAACGCAACACCAUGUCCAACUGAAAAAAUGCUUUGUAACAUGGGAUUCUGGAGAGUUUAAAUCGGCUUGACACAAGCUAGAGUUAUCUAAAAAAAAAGACCUUUAGCUGAGAAAAUGUCUUCAUGCUAUCUGACUGUACAACGUUUUCUAAAUUAGUGAUUGAUGUGUGAGGGCCCAUCCCAUUGUGGGCAGUGCCAUCCCUGGGUUGGUGGUCUUGACUUCUAUAAGCAGACAGACUGAGCAAGCCAUGGGAAGCAAGCCAGUAAGCAGCACUUCUCCACGGCCUCUGCAUCAGCUCCUGUCUUCAGUUCCCUGCCCUGCUAGAGUUCCUGUCCUGACUUCCUUCCAUAAUGAAAGUGAUGUGGAAGUGUAAGCCAAAUAAACCCUUUCCUCUCCAACUUGCUUUUUGGUCACAUCAUUUUAGUGUUUCAUCACAGCAAUAGAAACUCUAAAGCAAUGGGAUAAUAUAUAAAAUUAAUGGGCUCAAGAUUCAAAUCAGCAGUAUACUUAUAGGAGACAAUUCAAGAUCAACAAUUACAUACUAAUUAAUAAGUGGUCAGCUGAGCAAUGUGAGAACCCAUUGAAAAGCAGUCUUCUGUGGCUGGGUCUCUAAAUAGCGGUGUUUGCCUAGCAUGUGCAUGGACCUGGGUUUAGUUCCCAGCACUGAAGACAGAACAAAGAACCAAGAUGUCAGCCAGCCCCUCUGGGUCAUAUCUUUCAACCCAGCUGGGAGCGCCAGCCCACACUAUUAUAAGCCACACCGUGUAUUAUUUAGUGUGGGAACACUGUGCAGGGGAGAGAAGGCCACUAGUCAGAAUUAACAUUAGACGUUGCUGAGUGCUUGGUAAAAUGCUGGAGACUCUAGUAUUCCUUGGUUCUCUUGACACAGGAAAUGGGAAGGGCUGAGCUGAGUCUCCAGGACCCUGUGAGGAUCAUUAGAUAAGCAAGCAGUUAGAGCCCUUGUUCCCUGCAUACACCGGAACCAACAAAACCGAACCGUCUCCUCUAGUAAGUUCAGACUUGAGUAAAGAUAGGCCAUUCUAACUCAGUUUCUCUUUUGUAAGAAUAGCAUCUCUGAAUUUAUGUUUUAUUCCUUUCCUGUUUUUUUAAUUAUGAUAAAAUAUGAAUAACAUAAUUUACCAUUGAUGGGGACUUGGGAGUUGAGUCAAGCAUGAGAACUGAGUUUCCAAUUCUUAGCAUCUGUGUAAAAGAGAAGUCAGGCAUGACCUUGAGCAUAAGUAACCCCAUUUGGUAGGGUGGCUGGAGGCAGGAGGAUACCUGCGUUCAUUUGCCAGCCAGUCUCCCUGAAAGUGUGAGCUCUGGGUUCAGAGAGAGGCCCUGUCUUAAAAUGUAAGGUGGAGAGUGAUUGAGAAAGACCUCCCAACAUUGAUCUUUGGCUUCUGUUGGCAUACACCGGGACACACCACUACACACACGUACACACAAAAGCAUACACAGAUACACAGAUACACUGAUUUGCCAUAAAAAUCAUUUUUUAAUAAAAACCAUUUCUUAAAUUCUCUCUCUCUCUCUCCUCUGUGUGUGUGUGUGUGUGUGUGUAUGUGUGUGCAUGGCAUGGGCAUGUGCAUGUACGUGUGUGUGCACGUGUAUGUGUGCAUGUGCCUGUGUGUGCAUGUGUGUGUAUGUGUGCAUGUGCAUGUGUGUGUAUGCGUGCGUGUGUGUGUGUGUGUGUGUGUGUGUGUGUGUGUGUGUGAUACACAUGUGGCGGUCACAGGGAAACCCCGAGUUUUGAUCCUUACCUUCUACCCUGUUUGAGACAGUCUCCUUGGUUAUUUUCCCACUCUGCACAUCAGGCGUCCACUUGCCAUCCGCCCAUGGGAUCACCGGAGUUGCACACACUUGUAAUUUAUAUCCAGCUGUUACAUGGGUUCUUGUGAUUUAAACUGAGAGCCUUGUUGUGUUCGUGCCAAGCGUUUCGGCCAAGGCGCCAACUCCCUAGGCCUCAAGCCAUUUUAAAAUGUGCAGUUUGGUGGAAUCAAUUAAAUAGCCAAGGCUCAAGCCAUGACUUGGAAAACUUCCAUUACCUUAGAUAGAAACUGAUCAUUAAGCAAUAAUUCUCUAUUUUAUGCUGAGAAAAUCCUAAUCUUUCUGUCCUUGUUAAUUUUCAUAGUCUAAAUACUUCACGUUUUUAUGCAAGAGAAAUCAGCACAGAUAUUCGUUUUGUGUCUACUUACUCCUGUAUUUUCAAGGUUCACCCUUGUCAUAGCAUGGAGAGUUCCUUCCUUCAAGGAUAAGUGACCUUCUGCUGUGCAGGUCACCUCGUUGUGCUUGUCCAUUCAUCUGCUGAUAGACAUUGCGUUAUUGUCACCUUUGUCUUGAAUGUUGCUGCUGUGAACACUGACGUACAAGCAGAUAACCGAGUCCCUGUUUUCAGCUUAAAUAAACUUCUACAGGCAAACUGCUGAGCCAGAUAGUAGUUAGGCCUAACUUUGUGAGGGAUGACUGUCUUAGUGACCAAGGCAACUCUUAAAAGAAAAAAAAAGAUUUAUUUAUUUAUUAUAUAUAGGUACACUGUAGCUGUACUUGAGACACACCAGAAGAGGGCAUCCGAUCCCAUUACAGAUGGUCGUGAGCCACCAUGUGGUUACUGGGAAUUGAACUCAGGACCUCUGGAAGGGCAGUCAACGCUCUUAACCACUGAGCCAACUCUCUGGGCCCAAGACAACUUUUAUAAGGACAACUUUUUUAAUGGGGGCUGGCCUACAGGUUCAGAGAUUCAGUUCGUUAUCAUCAAGGCAGGAAGGAAGCAUGGCAGCAUCCAGGCAGGCAGUGCAGGAGGAGCUGAGAGUGCCACAUCUUCAUCUGAAGGCUGCUAGCAGAAUACUGGCUUCCAGGCAGCUAGGAUGAGGGUUUUAAGCUCACACCCACAGUGACACACCUACUCCAACAGGGCCACACCUCCAAAUAGUGCCACUCCCUGGACCAAGCAUAUACAAACCAUGACAAUGACUAAACAUGGGAGCCCCAUUUCACCUUUGAAUCAGCCAUGUCCAGGUUCCAAUUUCCCUGCACAGCCACCGACCAUUGUACAGAAUUAUCCUCUGAGCUAAAGUGCCACCAUCUGUGGGAGUUCAGUUGGACCUGCUUGGAAAAGAACCUUUCAGCUCUGCUUAUUGGCUUUUGAACUUCUUUCAUAAAAAGAUGGGACAGAGAGGGUCAUGGGACCCUCCCCUGAGUAUCUAGGCACCUCUCUCAAAUACUUUUAUACAAUUUUGUCCUGUUUGUGGCCUCUGGGGUCUUGGGGAAGGGCUAUAGUUUAUAGCUGGAGAAGGACUAGAGGAGAGAGUGUUCUCUCUAAGUGGAAAAGACAUCAUUCCAGCUGGGUAAAGGCUUUUAGUGCAGCGUUUACAGGGGGAACCCCAUGCUCCUAUAAGUGGCCCUUCAUCUAUACUAUUGUAAGUAAAAGUCUAAUAAACUUACUGGCACCCCAAAGUGAACUUUGGUAGCAUAUACUUUGGUCAGUUAUGGGGGCCUGUGGUGAUUUGUUACACAGCCUACUCAUACACUUUACAAACUGGUGAAUGUGAGAAUUCCUAAGAGGCCUAGUGGUGCUAGGCAGUGUCUGCCCAGGAUGCUGAGUUAACAGAAUUCUAAAUAGAGUCAUAGCAUUCUGCAAGUGCUAACCUGGGGUUUACAUACAUUAAGCGACUUGGAACACCAGAGCUCAGAAUACAGCUUUGUGCAUGGCUCUGGAAGGAACAGCAUCCGCGGAGGCAAAUGGUUGCCCUGAUGUCAUUCGUAUUUUUCUGAUGAUUUUUGUUUCCUAGUGAAGGUCAGGGUGUUGAAGGCAGUGGGGAGAGAGAGAGAGAGCCUCACAGGGCAAGCAGUGUCCUUUUGAAUUUUUUUUAUUGAUAUGCUGAACGUUUUGAAAAAGAAAAUUUAACACAUCGCAGACAUGCCUAUGCAGGAGGAAGGAGUCAAGCUAAGCCAGCACAUGGGUGCUAGGCAGUGAGGCUCCAUGGUCCCAGAUGUUUGGCAUGCUUCAGUCAAAGGGUGGUUCAGGGCCUGGGGUUGCUCAGGCUUGUCACUCACUUCUUUCCAGCCUGUCGCUGGUCCCAACAUGCUCACGGGGCUGUAGCUUUGUCACUGGCUGGCACCUUCCUCUCCCUGUUCUGACUUUCACUGCAGUUUUAUAUCAUUAACUUUUAUAUAUUCUUUCCUCUUCCAUUGUUUUAUAUGUUUGUGGAUGUUUCCUUUGAACGUUUAAAACAGAAUUAAAUGAUGGCAUCUAAUAAUGUCUAAAUAUCUAUAAGAACUCUCCACACUAUACUCUCCUCUUAAUGCUUUCUGAAAUGCUGGUUCCAGUUUGUUUUUAAGCUCAAAAUUGUUAAUAGUGCAUUAUUCGUUUAGAUUUAUUUCUAUAUGCUUUCCCUUUUUAAUUCUUUGGUGAGAGACAGAAAGUGGGAACAAGCGUGGCACAUGUGUCGGGGUCUGGGGAAACGUACAAGAGUCAGUUUUCUACCUUGGGCAUCCUGGGUCGUCAGGCUAGGCAGCAGGCACCCUUACCUGAUGAACCUUCACACUGGCCCUUACUGUUGCUGUAAAAUUAUAAAAAAGGCUAUCCUUUAGCCCCACUAGGUCCGGCACCGCAGUGCCCCAAGAUAUCUUGCCAGAAACACACAUCCCAACUCCGUGAAGGCUCACACACUCUCACUCUUUUUUUUUUUUUUUUUAGUUUUUUAUUUUUUAUUUUAUUUAUUUAUUUUUAUUAACUUGAGUAUUUCUUAUAUACACUUCUCGUGUUAUUCCCUUUCCCGGUUUCCGGGCAAACAUCCCCCUCCCCCCUCCCCUUCCUUAUGGGUGUUCCCCUCCCCAUCCUCCCCCCAUUGCCGCCCUCCCCCCAACAAUCUAGUUCACUGGGGGUUCAGUCUUAGCAGGACCCAGGGCUUCCCCUUACACUGGCUCACACACUCUCUUAAACUUAAAUUGCUACAUGAAAAAACACACAACACAAUAACCUCUGAUCCAAUUGAUAAGAUAUAAUUGACCACCUAAACAUACAAAGCCCUGUACACAUCCAUCCCUUAAGAACAUUCAUAACAUCACUUCUCGGCCUUUUGGCUAAGAUCAAGUGUAGUAUCUGUUCUUAUCAGUUUAAUAUCUGAUACGUCCUCUAUCCGAGGACAAUAUAUUAAAUGGAUUUUUGGAACUAGGAGUUGGAAUAGGAGCUUGCUCCGUCCACUCCACGCAUCGACCUGGUAUUGCAGUACCUCCAGGAACGGUGCACC
This is a non-coding RNA of Rattus norvegicus (Norway rat), 7411 nucleotides long. NCBI's taxonomy places the organism in Eukaryota, Metazoa, Chordata, Mammalia, Rodentia, Muridae. The record is from RefSeq and is a predicted model, not a curated record.